RNAcentral lists this ribosomal RNA (1306 nucleotides) under uncultured bacterium. RNAcentral describes it as "bacterial SSU rRNA". It matches the Rfam family "Bacterial small subunit ribosomal RNA", at positions 28 to 1381 of the family's 1533-position model. The record is from RNAcentral.
AACGUACGCUGGCGGCACGCCUAACACAUGCAAGUCGAACGAAGUAGCAAUACUUAGUGGCAGACGGGUGAGUAACAUGUAGGUAUCUGCCCUUUGGCCUGGAAUAACACGAGGAAACUUGUGCUAAUACCGGAUAAGUCUUUACGGAGAAAGCUUUAUGCACCAUUGGAUGAGCCUGCACUUGAUUAGUUUGUUGGUGGGGUAAUGGCCUACCAAGACUGUGAUCAAUAGCUGAUUUGAGAGGAUGAUCAGCCACAUUGGGACUGAGACACGGCCCAAACUCCUACGGGAGGCAGCAGUGGGGAAUCUUGCACAAUGGAGGAAACUCUGAUGCAGCGAUGCCGCGUGAGUGAAGAAGGCCCUUGGGUUGUAAAGCUCUUUCGUCGGGGAAGAAAAUGACUGUACCCGAAUAAGAAGGUCCGGCUAACUUCGUGCCAGCAGCCGCGGUAAUACGAAGGGACCUAGCGUAGUUCGGAAUUACUGGGCUUAAAGAGUUCGUAGGUGGUUGAAAAAGUUAGUGGUGAAAUCCCAGAGCUUAACUCUGGAACUGCCAUUAAAACUUUUCAGCUAGAGUAUGAUAGAGGAAAGCAGAAUUUCUAGUGUAGAGGUGAAAUUCGUAGAUAUUAGAAAGAAUACCAAUUGCGAAGGCAGCUUUCUGGAUCAUUACUGACACUGAGGAACGAAAGCAUGGGUAGCGAAGAGGAUUAGAUACCCUCGUAGUCCAUGCCGUAAACGAUGUGUGUUAGACGUUGGAAAUUUAUUUUCAGUGUCGCAGGGAAACCGAUAAACACACCGCCUGGGGAGUACGACCGCAAGGUUAAAACUCAAAUGAAUUGACGGGGACCCGCACAAGUAGUGGAGCAUGUGGUUUAAUUCGAAGAUACGCGCAGAACCUUACCAACACUUGACAUGUUCGUCGCGACUCUAAGAGAUUAGAGUUUUCGGUUCGGCCGGACGAAACACAGGUGCUGCAUGGCUGUCGUCAGCUCGUGUCGUGAGAUGUUGGGUUAAGUCCCGCAACGAGCGCAACCCUCACUUUUAGUUGCCAUCAUUAAGUUUGGCACUCUGAAAGAACUGCCAGUGAUAAGCUGGAGGAAGGUGGGGAUGACGUCAAGUCCUCAUGGCCCUUACGUGUUGGGCUACACACGUGCUACAAUGGUAUCUACAACAGGAAGCAAGACUGCGAAGUUAAGCAAAUCCCUAAAAGAUACCUCAGUUCGGAUUGCACUCUGCAACUCGAGUGCAUGAAGCUGGAAUUACUAGUAAUCGUGGAUCAGCGUGCCACGGUGAAUGCGUUCCCGGGUCU